ACUGGAGGAUCAAGGCUGAAUCUGAUGAAGCAAGACUUUGCUGAUACACUCCUCCUAGACAAAGGGUGGAGAGAACAGUCGUAAACUGGAGAAAACCACAGGUUGAAUAUACUAUCCAAAAUUU
Non-coding RNA from Cricetulus griseus (Chinese hamster), 124 nucleotides. Ensembl annotates it as small Cajal body-specific RNA 4. NCBI's taxonomy places the organism in Eukaryota, Metazoa, Chordata, Mammalia, Rodentia, Cricetidae. The record is from Ensembl.